This 293-nucleotide ribosomal RNA is filed under the name uncultured bacterium. RNAcentral's name for it is "partial 16S ribosomal RNA". It matches the Rfam family "Archaeal small subunit ribosomal RNA", at positions 455 to 747 of the family's 1478-position model. The record is from RNAcentral.
GUGCCAGCCGCCGCGGUAAUACCGGCAGCCCGAGUGAUGGCCGAUCUUAUUGGGCCUAAAGCGUCCGUAGCUGGCCGUGCAAGUCCAUCGGAAAAUCCACCCGCCCAACGGGUGGGCGCCCGGUGGAAACUGCGUGGCUUGGGACCGGAAGGCGCGACGGGUACGUCCGGGGUAGGAGUGAAAUCCCGUAAUCCUGGACGGACCGCCGAUGGCGAAAGCACUUCGAGAAAACGGAUCCGACAGUGAGGGACGAAAGCCAGGGUCUCCAACCGGAUUAGAAACUCCUGUAGUCC